UUUGUUGAAGCUUCCUGCUGCUUCGUGAAGGCUUCCCGCUGUUUCUGGCUGGCUUUCUCCUGUUUUUUGGUGGCGGCUUCUAUUCAUUUAACCAUGUACAUAACCAUUUCAUUUUGCUUACGAAUGAGUCCACCGAGCAUUUCCACCAGUUGAUUUCCAGCAAACUUGGAUCGUUCUGAGGUAUUGGGAGUCCAAACUGACAUCUGCUUGUAACGUCCACUUUCUUCAUUGUCUACCAAUUCCUCAUUUCUGUAUUUUUCUAAUGUUUUCCCCUCGACUUCUUCGUCUACCACUAUCUUCCUCCUUGGUGGAAUUUU
RNAcentral lists this long non-coding RNA (317 nucleotides) under Capsella rubella. RNAcentral's name for it is "long non-coding RNA (CRUB_LNC001647)". Lineage: Eukaryota; Viridiplantae; Streptophyta; Magnoliopsida; Brassicales; Brassicaceae. The record is from RNAcentral.